AUCUCGGCGCUCCCGGAAGUGGCCCGGAGGCGGCGCGCCAGUCCCGAGCAGUGCUCGCUCCUGCUCGGGGCGCUGCGGCCCCGGGCGUCGCCAUGACCAGCGAGCUGGACAUCUUCGUGGGGAACACGACCCUUAUCGACGAGGACGUGUAUCGCCUCUGGCUCGAUGGUUACUCGGUGACCGACGCGGUGGCCCUGCGGGUGCGCUCGGGAAUCCUGGAGCAGACUGGCGCCACGGCAGCAGUGCUGCAGAGCGACACCAUGGACCAUUACCGCACCUUCCACAUGCUCGAGCGGCUGCUGCAUGCGCCGCCCAAGCUACUGCACCAGCUCAUCUUCCAGAUUCCGCCCUCCCGGCAGGCACUACUCAUCGAGAGGUGCUCACCCUGUGGGAUGGUGGAGACAUCAACCAGUCUGACUGUAUACCCAUUUUGCCGGCUGAAACAGGCCCAGGGAGGGAUGGGACUUACCCAGCCAUCAGAAAGUUGAGAGUAGAAGGGGUCAGACCUAGGCCCUGCCAGGCCCCGCCAGACUCCCUUUCCUCUCUUUUAUGGAGGGUCAAUGGUGUUCUCUGACUCCACAAGGUACUAUGCCUUUGAUGAGGCCUUUGUUCGGGAGGUGCUGGGCAAGAAGCUGUCCAAAGGCACCAAGAAAGAUCUGGAUGACAUCAGCACCAAAACAGGCAUCACCCUCAAGAGCUGCCGGAGACAGGUAGGCACUGCAUCCACACGGACACAGCAUCCCAUCUACACUUCACUCCCUCCCUUUGGCCACUGGCCCAGUUCCAGCCUCUGAUUGUGGCAGCAGCUUCAUACCUAGUCUUCUCCUCCCUUCCCCUUUCCCCUCCUUUUUUUUUUUUUUUUUUUUUCGAGAAGGAGUCUUGCUCUGUGGCCCAAGCUGGAGUGCAGUGGCGCGACCUCAGCUCACUGCAACCUCCGCCUCCUGGGUUCAGGUAAUUCUUGUGCCUCAGCCUCUGCAGUAGCUG
This 984-nucleotide small RNA is filed under the name Pan troglodytes (chimpanzee). RNAcentral's name for it is "retained intron". Lineage: Eukaryota; Metazoa; Chordata; Mammalia; Primates; Hominidae. The record is from RNAcentral.